Molecule: ribosomal RNA, 253 nt
Filed under: uncultured bacterium
Lineage: Bacteria
Description: partial 16S ribosomal RNA
Rfam family: Bacterial small subunit ribosomal RNA
Source: RNAcentral
UACGUAGGUGGCAAGCGUUGUCCGGAAUUAUUGGGCGUAAAGCGCGCGCAGGCGGUCCUUUAAGUCUGAUGUGAAAGCCCACGGCUUAACCGUGGAGGGUCAUUGGAAACUGGAGGACUUGAGUGCAGAAGAGGAAAGUGGAAUUCCAAGUGUAGCGGUGAAAUGCGUAGAGAUUUGGAGGAACACCAGUGGCGAAGGCGACUUUCUGGUCUGUAACUGACGCUGAGGCGCGAAAGCGUGGGGAGCAAACAGG